UGGGGAAUCUUGCGCAAUGGGCGAAAGCCUGACGCAGCCAUGCCGCGUGAAUGAUGAAGGUCUUAGGAUUGUAAAAUUCUUUCACCGGGGACGAUAAUGACGGUACCCGGAGAAGAAGCCCCGGCUAACUUCGUGCCAGCAGCCGCGGUAAUACGAAGGGGGCUAGCGUUGCUUGGAAUUACUGGGCGUAAAGGGAGCGUAGGCGGACAUUUAAGUCAGGGGUGAAAUCCCGGGGCUCAACCUCGGAAUUGCCUUUGAUACUGGGUGUCUUGAGUAUGAGAGAGGUGUGUGGAACUCCGAGUGUAGAGGUGAAAUUCGUAGAUAUUCGGAAGAACACCAGUGGCGAAGGCGACACACUGGCUCAUUACUGACGCUGAGGCUCGAAAGCGUGGGGAGCAAACAGGAUUAGAUACCCUGGUAGUCCACGCCGUAAAACGAUGAUUGCUAGUUGUCGGGAUGCAUGCAUUUCGGUGACGCAGCUAACGCAUUAAGCAAUCCGCCUGGGGAGUACGGUCGCAAGAUUAAAAACUUAAAUGAAUUGACGGGGUCAUAGCUGUUUCCUG
Molecule: ribosomal RNA, 563 nt
Filed under: uncultured bacterium
Lineage: Bacteria
Description: partial 16S ribosomal RNA
Rfam family: Bacterial small subunit ribosomal RNA
Source: RNAcentral